RNAcentral lists this transfer RNA (70 nucleotides) under Dipodomys ordii (Ord's kangaroo rat). It matches the Rfam family "tRNA". Rfam says of the family: Transfer RNA (tRNA) molecules are approximately 80 nucleotides in length. Their secondary structure includes four short double-helical elements and three loops (D, anti-codon, and T loops). Lineage: Eukaryota; Metazoa; Chordata; Mammalia; Rodentia; Heteromyidae. The record is from Rfam by way of RNAcentral.
AGGGCAUAGCUUAGCAAUAGAGCACCUGCCUAGCAAGCAGGAGGUACUGAGUAAAAACUCAGUACUACUA